Molecule: ribosomal RNA, 497 nt
Filed under: uncultured bacterium
Lineage: Bacteria
Description: partial 16S ribosomal RNA
Rfam family: Bacterial small subunit ribosomal RNA
Source: RNAcentral
GACGAACGCUGGCGGCGUGCCUAAUACAUGCAAGUUGAGCGAUGAAGAUUGGUGCUUGCACCAAUUUGAAGAGCAGCGAACGGGUGAGUAACGCGUGGGGAAUCUGCCUUUGAGCGGGGGACAACAUUUGGAAACGAAUGCUAAUACCGCAUAACAACUUUAAACAUAAUUUUUAAGUUUGAAAGAUGCAAUUGCAUCACUCAAAGAUGAUCCCGCGUUGUAUUAGCUAGUUGGUGAGGUAAAGGCUCACCAAGGCGAUGAUACAUAGCCGACCUGAGAGGGUGAUCGGCCACAUUGGGACUGAGACACGGCCCAAACUCCUACGGGAGGCAGCAGUAGGGAAUCUUCGGCAAUGGACGAAAGUCUGACCGAGCAACGCCGCGUGAGUGAAGAAGGUUUUCGGAUCGUAAAACUCUGUUGGUAGAGAAGAACGUGGGUGAGAGUGGAAAGCUCAUCAAGUGACGGUAACUACCCAGAAAGGGACGGCUAACUACGUG